This 389-nucleotide unclassified non-coding RNA is filed under the name soil metagenome. RNAcentral's name for it is "partial contains 5.8S ribosomal RNA, internal transcribed spacer 2, and large subunit ribosomal RNA". The stretch from base 1 to 120 matches the Rfam family "5.8S ribosomal RNA", at positions 35 to 154 of the family's 154-position model. The record is from RNAcentral.
GAUGAAGAACGUAGUGAAAUGCGAUAAGUAAUGUGAAUUGCAGAAUUCAGUGAAUCAUCGAAUCUUUGAACGCACCUUGCGCUCCUUGGUAUUCCGAGGAGCAUGCCUGUUUGAGUGUCAUUAAAUUCUCAACCUUAUUAGCUUUUGCUGAUAAUGGCUUGGACUUGGGGGUCUUUUUGCUGGCUUUCAUUAGUCUGCUCCCCUUAAAUGUAUUAGCCGGUGCCCCGCAGUGGAACCGUCUAUUGGUGUGAUAAUUAUCUACGCCGUGGACGUCUGCUAUAAUGGGUUUGCGCUGCUUCUAACCGUCUCUCGGGACAACACAAAUGACAAUUUGACCUCAAAUCAGGUAGGACUACCCGCUGAACUUAAGCAUAUCAAUAAGCGGAGGA